UGGGCAGGCACGGGAGAGUGCGGGGAGACCCGCCGCCGAAGGAGCAACCGCCCCGGAAUCUCUCAGGCAAAGUGGACCGUGCCGGCCGA
Molecule: non-coding RNA, 89 nt
Filed under: Sphingomonas panacis
Lineage: Bacteria; Pseudomonadati; Pseudomonadota; Alphaproteobacteria; Sphingomonadales; Sphingomonadaceae
Description: Glycine sequence
Rfam family: Glycine riboswitch aptamer
About the family: This family represents the bacterial glycine riboswitch.
Source: RNAcentral